RNAcentral lists this ribosomal RNA (689 nucleotides) under uncultured Microbacteriaceae bacterium. RNAcentral describes it as "bacterial SSU rRNA". It matches the Rfam family "Bacterial small subunit ribosomal RNA", at positions 95 to 798 of the family's 1533-position model. The record is from RNAcentral. Lineage: Bacteria; Bacillati; Actinomycetota; Actinomycetes; Micrococcales; Microbacteriaceae.
GUGGCGAACGGGUGAGUAACACGUGAGCAAUCUGCCCUUGACUCUGGGAUAACUGCGGGAAACUGUAGCUAAUACCGGAUACUUUCCUCGCUGGGCAUCCAGCGGGGAAGAAAGAAUUUCGGUCAAGGAUGAGCUCGCGGCCUAUCAGCUAGUUGGUGAGGUAAUGGCUCACCAAGGCGACGACGGGUAGCCGGCCUGAGAGGGUGACCGGCCACACUGGAACUGAGACACGGUCCAGACUCCUACGGGAGGCAGCAGUGGGGAAUAUUGCACAAUGGGCGAAAGCCUGAUGCAGCAACGCCGCGUGAGGGAUGAAGGCCUUCGGGUUGUAAACCUCUUUUAGCAGGGAAGAAGCGAAAGUGACGGUACCUGCAGAAAAAGCACCGGCUAACUACGUGCCAGCAGCCGCGGUAAUACGUAGGGUGCAAGCGUUGUCCGGAAUUAUUGGGCGUAAAGAGCUCGUAGGCGGUUUGUCACGUCUGCUGUGAAAAUCCGAGGCUCAACCUCGGACUUGCAGUGGGUACGGGCAGGCUAGAGUGCGGUAGGGGAGAAGGGAAUUCCUGGUGUAGCGGUGGAAUGCGCAGAUAUCAGGAGGAACACCAAUGGCGAAGGCACUUCUCUGGGCCGUAACUGACGCUGAGGAGCGAAAGCGUGGGGAGCGAACAGGAUUAGAUACCCUGGUGGUCCAC